CCGACACAUGCCAGUUUGGGGUGGGAGGAAGGGAGUCUGGGAGAGGAAUGUGGGUAGGAGUGGUCAGACUCAACGACAGCUGCUUCCAGGGAGAGCAUGCAUUCAAGCCCUCACAGGAAGCAAAGGAGUACAGGGUCCUCAGUCGAAGCCCCAAGUCCCUCCAUCCCACGGACUUUGGCGGGGCAGCCUGAGGUUAUUGAGCCUGAGGAAGUUGGGUAAUGAAGGCACUGUACUCUCCCUCCCUGACCCCAGAUCAGGGGUUACAAAGAUGAAUGACUCCAAACCCAACCUCAACCAAUUGACAGUCUACCAUGCUCUAAGUGAACUGUGAUGGCUGAAAACAAGAAGUCGGGGGAAGGUCAGUUCAAAGAGCAUGGCAGGUAGGGUGACUGUCCUCAUUUUAACUUGAAAACUCGUAUACAUCAGGAAGCCACUGCUUACCAGGCAAGCCUCAUGGUCCAUCAUGCUAGUGGUGGGACGAUCCAGGGAAGCACUCAACCUUGUCUCACCAAACCUUGGAGGGUUUGCCAAAUUUCCUUGGCCAAACUGGGGAAGACCUUCUAUUGUAGGGAUUGGAAGACUUGUGGAGAGAUGGCAGAAGGCCUUUUAUCUCAGGGAACAGAGCCACUGCCUUGCAGAAGUACCUCUCUUCUCACUCCCCCUUUUCCUGACUCCCAUUGCUUGAGGGUUCAGAUCUGGUAAGUCUUGGCAGAUACUGUUCAGAUCCCUCAAAACAAGCGGGAAAGCAGACAUAGCCAAUGCUUCUCAAGAUCCUUCCAGCUCUUCUCUCCUCAGCCAAGCCCUUGGGCUCUCUACCAGGAGAACUUGUUCUACCCACAAGAUGAAGGAUGGCCACCUCGUUCCUACAUACUUUGGCUGCCUUGGAACCAUCACAGGACUGAUUGACUUGCCUGUAUGAUAUAGCCAUCUCAACACUGGCCUGUGUGGAUGUGUUUGCUGGAUAGACACCAUUUAGUUGCCUGAGGAGAUCCAAGAUGAUUUUGUUUUUCUCCAUGAGAGAACCUCUUUCCCAGGGAGGCCACAGCCUUUUUCCGUGCUCUGAAGAACCUAGAAAACUACUUGGACUGCAUCUCUUCUGUUGUCCUCUAAGUGCUAGUCCAAUACUUCCUGUCUGAACCAGCCCCUGUGCUGUGCAGAGCCCAUUAUGGAAAGGUGAAUGAUGUUAAAUCAGGAGGACACUUGUCUAGCUUUCCAGAGCAUCUUUCCCCCACGCAAGUCACUUUGGGGAAGGUGACAUCUGAAUUCUCUGGGUCUGUAUUUCAUCUUCUAAUAGUAGACUGUUGGAGAUGCACUGGGAAAAAUAUCUUAAUGUUUGCUCUGAAGCCUCUCCCAGGAAGGAAAGGACACGGAAAGGAUCCAAGCAUUCACGCGGAAGUGGUGGCAAUACACACUGUCAUUGUUAAACCCGGCAACAGGAAGUGGGAUGAUGGAAGCGUCUGGAUAAUUCGAUCCAGCGGAGCUGCGUGGUCUUUGGCUUGGGAUUCAGACGCUCACUCAUUGGAUGAGGUGUGUAGCCCACCUAACUAUGAAGCCCUUUCUUGAUGGAGCCAUCAUGAGAAGAGCUGCAGAAGCACACCCUGAGGAAAGCUAUCCCCGGCUCGCUGGGUGGAUCCAACUGAUGGUGGACCCAAUUUUCUGAAUGGCUGGAGCUUCACAGAACACUGUUGCUUGUUAAUGUUCAGACACCGACCGCACUGGGAAGAGUCAUUGCUCGUGUCAACUCAUCAAGUAGUCUAAACAAGCCUGUUGGAGGCUGGCCAGCUCCGGACAGUCAUUGACCACAGAUGCGAUCUGGAAGCCCAUUACAACUUGUGGAAGCGAAAGGCUGUGUUUGACACGGUGGGAGUGAUGUGUAAGAUUCAGUGAAUGAAUGAAGGAAGGGAAGAAAGUCUGUUGAAGACAGAUGGGGUCAAGGACAUGGUUAAAUGUAUCACAGUGCUGGGUACUUUGAAGUCAUGUGCAGCCCUUCAUAGGAUGAAGCAGAUCUACAAGAAUUUAAAGAACAGCAUUGAGAUCACCAACAGGAUGCUGCUGCGUUGUUUGACCCCAAGCUGUGUAUUGCACUCUUUCCCAGAAGUUCUACAAGGAUGAGGACUUCAGGAAACUCCUUCCUUUCCUUCCAUUCAGAGGUUCAAUCCAUUGUCAUCAUGGUAGGGAGCAUGGUGGCAUGCAGGCAGACAUGGUGCUGGAGAAGUAACUAAGAGCUCUACAUCUGGAUCCACAGGCAGCAGGAAGACACGGUGAGCCAGUGGGCCUGACUUGGACUUUUGAAACCUCAAAGUGCACCCUCAGUGACACACUUCUGCCAACAAGACCACACCUCCUAAUCCUUACCAAGUUGUAUCCACUCCCUGAUGACAAAGCAUUCAAACAUACCAGUCUAUGGAGCCAUCCUUUUUUUUUUUUUUUUUAAAUGGGGGCCAUUCUUCUAUUCUUAUUCAGAGCACCACAAAAUUUGUUUUGGAAAAGAAGACAUUUGAGAAAGGGGCUGAAGGAUGUAACAGAGUGAAUCCUGUGUACGUAGAGGGAAAGCAUUUCAGAAAGUACAAACACAUGUGUCAUUCCAAGGGAGGGGCAUGCUGUCUACGGAGGGCCAUGGAGGACGUCAGUGUGCUUCUCAUCUUUCUAUGGCUGUGACAAAUAUACCUGAAAGAGACAACCGAAAAGAAGGAAUCUUUCAUUCUGACUCAUUUCCCCCCCAAACGUUUCAGUCAGUGGUUUGUUAACCCUGUUGCUUUUGAACCCAUGAUCUUGGUAUGUCACAGUGGAAGCCCAGGCCGUGGGAUGCUUGGCCAUCUCAUGGUGAUACAUAAACAAAAAGAGAAGUUUGUGCAACUCCUGAAACCUAGGCUGCAUCCACUAACCUUCACCUUUUAAAAGCUCUACAGGGUCCUGAUGGUGCCACAGGAGGGGGCUGAUCACUGAAGCAUGACCUUUGGAGGACUCUAGGUCUAAACUAUAGUGACCAUCAUGGCCAGAGACCAAUGUGGUAAUCUGGAAAGAAACGAGGGAGACAGAUCAGAGAAACCAAACCGUCACUGAGAAUGUUUGGCUGUAGGUGAAAGCAUGGCUGAGUAACGUUGAUAAUGUAGAUUCCGUGCCCGAUCUUAACCCUAGGCACCCUUUGAUGUUGUAAAUGAGCAAAGCCGCAGGAAACAGCUGUUUGGUCCCUUGAAUGACAACUGGCAGAUACUUCCCUCAUGCCCAGCUGCCUUGAGCAUGGAGCAUGCAGCUCCUUCCUUCACUACCUUAUUUGUUCAUUCCAUGAUUGCUCUGAGGAAGCACCACUCUAGCUAGGAAACCCACUCCAACUGCAGCUGCUGUGGAAGUUGUGACUCCAGAGUGAGAGGUCCUAUUUUAGGCAUGACUGCUUCGGGAACCUUGCAUCUGCUUUGGAAGAGUCCACCACAGGUAAAAAGCAGCCACAGAGAACUCUGGAUGACCCUACACUUUCUCAUGCAGGGAAGGAAUGGGAAUGCCUUGCCCUCUGGCUUAUCUAAGUACCCCCACUCCCUCAUCGGUAGAAAUGGAAGCCAUGUAUGUUCAGGACUGUGGCUGGUGAAACGGCAACCUUAACUAUGC
This 3603-nucleotide long non-coding RNA is filed under the name Cricetulus griseus (Chinese hamster). RNAcentral's name for it is "lncRNA (ENSCGRG00015032422.1)". Lineage: Eukaryota; Metazoa; Chordata; Mammalia; Rodentia; Cricetidae. The record is from RNAcentral.